GGCGAACGCUGGCGGCGUGCUUAACACAUGCAAGUCGAACGGAAAGGCCCUGCUUUUGUGGGGUGCUCGAGUGGCGAACGGGUGAGUAACACGUGAGUAACCUGCCCUUGACUUUGGGAUAACUUCAGGAAACUGGGGCUAAUACCGGAUAGGAGCUCCUGCUGCAUGGUGGGGGUUGGACAGUUUCGGCGGUUGGGGAUGGACUCGCGGCUUAUCAGCUUGUUGGUGGGGUAGUGGCUUACCAAGGCUUUGACGGGUAGCCGGCCUGAGAGGGUGACCGGCCACAUUGGGACUGAUAUACGGCCCAGACUCCUACGGGAGGCAGCAGUGGGGAAUAGUGCACAAUGGGCGGAAGCCUGAUGCAGCAACGCCGCGUGCGGGAUGACGGCCUUCGUGUUGUAAACCGCUUUCGCCUGUGACGAAGCGUGAGUGACGGUAAUGGGUAAAGAAGCACCGGCUAACUACGUG
Molecule: ribosomal RNA, 468 nt
Filed under: uncultured bacterium
Lineage: Bacteria
Description: partial 16S ribosomal RNA
Rfam family: Bacterial small subunit ribosomal RNA
Source: RNAcentral